Non-coding RNA from Cinara cedri, 285 nucleotides. The record is from the annotation of a GenBank genome assembly. Lineage: Eukaryota; Metazoa; Arthropoda; Insecta; Hemiptera; Aphididae.
UGUAACUCUGUAAAAAAUAACCGUAUAGGUACAUUAUUCCAAGGUUAGGUACAUUGUUCAAUCAGAUUGGCCGCUGCGUGUCUAUUUCACGAAGACCCUCGCCCAUUGAUGGAAAUCGGGAUGGGGGGGGGCUUGAGGAGUCUAAGCCCGCUCGAAACGUAUACACAGAGAUAUUGGCCCCCUCGAAUCAAUCAGUAAUCAGUUGGACCAUUGAUUAUUAAUUUGCGAGGGACUAAUUUCGCUCUUUGCCGUCGCCUCAUUAUUAUUAUUCUUCCCGUCCGUCCG